This 285-nucleotide long non-coding RNA is filed under the name Cicer arietinum (chickpea). Its description in RNAcentral is "long non-coding RNA (CARI_LNC002465)". The record is from RNAcentral. Lineage: Eukaryota; Viridiplantae; Streptophyta; Magnoliopsida; Fabales; Fabaceae.
GACCAGAUUGCAAAUUCAGGAGGGGAACAAACUGCAAAUCCAGGAGGGGAGCAAACUGCAACUCCAGGAGGGGAGCAGACCACAACUCCAAAUGGAGGGGAGCAGACUGCUACCCCAACUCCAGGAGGGGAGCAGACUACUAUCUCAAUUCCAGGAGGGGAGCAGACCACUACUCCAAUGCCUAUGGAAACCAAUGAGUAGAAGUUGAAAGUUGUGUCCAUAAUAUUGUGUACAGAGCACACUUGAGGCAACUGAGUAGUUUGUCACAACCGACCAAUGUUCCUG